CUCUGCACCUCACGUUUGGCCCUGGCUCUCUUUCGGGAAAUCCUGGGGAAGCCAAGAGGAACGAAGUAAGAACCUCAGGCUGCCUGAAUGAAGUUUUUCUUAUAAGAAUACUCCAGUGCUAA
This 122-nucleotide long non-coding RNA is filed under the name Numida meleagris (helmeted guineafowl). Its description in RNAcentral is "lncRNA (ENSNMEG00000019001.1)". Lineage: Eukaryota; Metazoa; Chordata; Aves; Galliformes; Numididae. The record is from RNAcentral.